This 574-nucleotide ribosomal RNA is filed under the name uncultured bacterium. RNAcentral's name for it is "bacterial SSU rRNA". It matches the Rfam family "Bacterial small subunit ribosomal RNA", at positions 822 to 1394 of the family's 1533-position model. The record is from RNAcentral.
GUGGGGACAUUCCACGGUGUCCGUGUCGUAGCUAACGCAUUAAGUUCCCCGCCUGGGGAGUACGGCCGCAAGGCUAAAACUCAAAGGAAUUGACGGGGGCCCGCACAAGCGGCGGAGCAUGCGGAUUAAUUCGAUGCAACGCGAAGAACCUUACCAAGGCUUGACAUAUACGAGAACGCGCUGGAGACAGCGAACUCUUUGGACACUCGUAUACAGGUGGUGCAUGGUUGUCGUCAGCUCGUGUCGUGAGAUGUUGGGUUAAGUCCCGCAACGAGCGCAACCCUCGUCCUAUGUUGCCAGCACGUAAUGGUGGGAACUCAUGGGAUACUGCCGGGGUCAACUCGGAGGAAGGUGGGGAUGAGGUCAAAUCAUCAUGCCCCUUAUGUCUUGGGCUUCACGCAUGCUACAAUGGCCGGUACAAUGGGCUGCGAUACCGCAAGGUGGAGCGAAUCCCAAAAAGCCGGUCUCAGUUCGGAUUGGGGUCUGCAACUCGACCCCAUGAAGUCGGAGUCGCUAGUAAUCGUAGAUCAGCAACGCUACGGUGAAUACGUUCCCGGGCCUUGUACACACCGCC